ACACGUGGGUAAUCUGCCCUCGGCACUGGGAUAGCCCGGGGAAACCCGGAUUAAUACCGGAUAGCCUUUCGAGCCUUCGGGCUCGUCAGAAAAGGUGGCUUCGGCUUCCGGCUGAGGAUGAGCCCGCGGCGGAUUAGCUUGUUGGUGAGGUAAUGGCUCACCAAGGCUCCGAUCUGUAGCUGGUCUGAGAGGACGAUCAGCCACACUGGGACUGAGACACGGCCCAGACUCCUACGGGAGGCAGCAGUAGGGAAUCUUGCGCAAUGGGCGAAAGCCUGACGCAGCGACGCCGCGUGCGGGAAGAAGGCCUUCGGGUUGUAAACCGCUUUCAGGAGGGACGAAGCCACUCGGGUUAAUAGCCCAGAGGGUGACGGUACCUCCAGAAGAAGCCCCGGCUAACUACGUGCCAGCAGCCGCGGU
Molecule: ribosomal RNA, 420 nt
Filed under: uncultured bacterium
Lineage: Bacteria
Description: bacterial SSU rRNA
Rfam family: Bacterial small subunit ribosomal RNA
Source: RNAcentral